Hypanus sabinus (Atlantic stingray) is the source of this 359-nucleotide long non-coding RNA. RefSeq lists it as uncharacterized. NCBI's taxonomy places the organism in Eukaryota, Metazoa, Chordata, Chondrichthyes, Myliobatiformes, Dasyatidae. The record is from RefSeq and is a predicted model, not a curated record. The transcript has 3 exons.
CGAAGUUUUAAAGUGGUAAUGCGACGUCAACACUUGAAGCACGAAGCUCCCGUCUGGACCUGAAGCUUUCCUGGACCAGUCAGGUCAAAGAAUUCAUUGUGGAAGGGGAAGUCAAAGGGAACACAACAGUCCUCAUCGAAGGAUCAGCAGUGGAAAGGGAAAAGGCGGCACUAUUGUCCUGGGAACGAUAUGGAGAGUCCUUUUCUCCCCCAAGAAAAUUCAAAUGUCUCUGACCAGCUGUAACCCCGAGGAAAGGCAGAGAGAACGAAAGAGAGAGAGCGAGGCGGCAUGUUAAUUUCAAGGUAGCUGCAAAGGUACUUCGUGGAAGCAGAACUUCAUCUUAAAAUGUAAAACCAAGA